RNAcentral lists this long non-coding RNA (226 nucleotides) under Ananas comosus (pineapple). RNAcentral's name for it is "long non-coding RNA (ACOM_LNC018102)". Lineage: Eukaryota; Viridiplantae; Streptophyta; Magnoliopsida; Poales; Bromeliaceae. The record is from RNAcentral.
UGCAUAAAAAAUUCACUUAUUUUGGGCUUUUGCAAAAUCGGGCCACAUUUUUUUCAUUUUUGCAGAUUCGGUCCGCUUUUUCAGUAAACUGACCAAAAUACCUUUUUUACUUUUUCUCUUUCCUCUUUCUCUCUCCUCUUCGUUUCUCUCGUUCUUUUUUCUUUUCUCGCCGGCAGAGUGGAGGCGGAAACGGUCCGUCUCGCCUCUCACCCUCAUUCUCUCGCCC